Molecule: ribosomal RNA, 301 nt
Filed under: uncultured bacterium
Lineage: Bacteria
Description: partial 16S ribosomal RNA
Rfam family: Bacterial small subunit ribosomal RNA
Source: RNAcentral
CAGUCGCCGCGGUAAUACGUAGGGUCCAAGCGUUAAUCGGAAUUACUGGGCGUAAAGCGUGCGCAGGCGGUUGUGCAAGACCGAUGUGAAAUCCCCGGGCUUAACCUGGGAAUUGCAUUGGUGACUGCACGGCUAGAGUGUGUCAGAGGGGGGUAGAAUUCCACGUGUAGCAGUGAAAUGCGUAGAGAUGUGGAGGAAUACCGAUGGCGAAGGCAGCCCCCUGGGAUAACACUGACGCUCAUGCACGAAAGCGUGGGGAGCAAACAGGAUUAGAUACCCCCGUAGUCCCUGUCUCUUAUAC